RNAcentral lists this ribosomal RNA (253 nucleotides) under uncultured bacterium. RNAcentral's name for it is "partial 16S ribosomal RNA". It matches the Rfam family "Bacterial small subunit ribosomal RNA", at positions 524 to 776 of the family's 1533-position model. The record is from RNAcentral.
UACGUAGGGGGCAAGCGUUGUCCGGAAUCAUUGGGCGUAAAGAGCGUGUAGGCGGCCCGGUAAGUCCGCUGUGAAAGUCCAGGGCUCAACCCUGGGAUGCCGGUGGAUACUGUCGGGCUCGAGUCCGGAAGAGGAGUGUGGAAUUCCUGGUGUAGCGGUGAAAUGCGCAGAUAUCGGAAGGAACACCAGUGGCGAAAGCGGCUUCCUGGUCCAGCACCGACGUUCAGGCACGAAAGCGUGGGGAGCAAACAGG